UUGUUUUUCUAGUAGUGACACUUCUUCAAGGCCGGGAAACGGGAUGCAUAGACGAAAUACUGGAGACUAGGAGAAAGGCAGGCUGUCGCUGAUGAGGGUGUCUGGUGAGGGUUGGGUGCGGUCGAGUUCCUUGUAUGAUGAUGGGGAGAUGUUCAGAGCUUUAUAUUUGUUUCAUUCUCCGGUCCUCGCUAGCUAUCCAACCACUAUCCGUAUG
This 214-nucleotide long non-coding RNA is filed under the name Setaria italica (foxtail millet). RNAcentral's name for it is "long non-coding RNA (SITA_LNC000830)". The record is from RNAcentral. Lineage: Eukaryota; Viridiplantae; Streptophyta; Magnoliopsida; Poales; Poaceae.